RNAcentral lists this microRNA precursor (138 nucleotides) under Marmota monax (woodchuck). The record is from RNAcentral. Lineage: Eukaryota; Metazoa; Chordata; Mammalia; Rodentia; Sciuridae.
GAAAGAAAAAGAGAGAGAGGGAGGGAGGAGGGAAAGAAAAGGAAGGAAAGAAGAUGGUUGGACGGAUGGAUGGAAGGAUGGUUGAUAGAUAUGUCUCCCUCCCUCCCUCCCUCCCUCCCUCCCGUCCUUCCUUCCAUC